This 1970-nucleotide long non-coding RNA is filed under the name Homo sapiens (human). RNAcentral's name for it is "HSALNT0166966". Lineage: Eukaryota; Metazoa; Chordata; Mammalia; Primates; Hominidae. The record is from RNAcentral.
CUUUAACACAAAGCACUUUCCUAUGGUUUCUCAUUUAAGGUAGGUAUAAUUUCCAUUUUGCAAGUGGGAGACCUGGAGCUCAGAGAGGGCAAAUGACUUGUCCGAGGUCACAAUGUUCUUUAGUGGCAGAACAAGGAGUCAAGCCCAGAUCUUCGGGCUCCUUGGUUGAGAGCUGUCUUCACCAUCACGUGGAAAAGAUGGGGGAGGAGAGAGCAGCACACUGGUUGCCAGUGUAUCAGCGCUCCAGGGCAGGCAGGUGGAGGGAAACACGGCCUGAGAAGUCAAGAGGAGGACCACCUGCCUGGAGCCACACACGGCACUUUCCACGCAUAACCCCCUUUAAUCAUUGCCUCAAACUCAUGAAAGUGAUGAGGAACUGAAGCUGGGAGAGGCUAAGCGGUCACCCGGCUAGUUAAUAGCAGAGUUGUGGACCUGAAUCCAGAUCUGUCCAACUUGAGAGCCUCCGCAGGUCUCCACUGGGGCUUUUCAGGUCUUGUUCUUGGUGCUGGAGAACAGAAAAAGUCCCAGUCCUCAUUUGGGGGAGACGGAUGAUAAACAAACAUAUAAAAAACUUCAGACAGCGGUAAAAGGAAUUAUCCAUAAUGGCCGCAUCCAAUCUGUUGAAGGCCUUAAAAGCAAAAACUGAGGUUUCCCAGAGAAGAAGGAAUUCUGCCUUAAGACUAUGACAUAGAAACUCUGCCUGAGUUUCCAGCCUCCUGCUCUACAGAACAGCAGGACUUUUGGACUUGCCAGCCCCCACAACCAUGUGAGUCAAUUUCUUCAAAAAAAAAAAAAAAAAAUCCCUCCUCUUUCUCUCUCAUACAUGCAUAUAAUUGGUUAUAUAUAACAUAUAUAAUUGGUUCUGUUUCUCUGGAGAACCAUGACAAAUAUAUAACCCAAAUAUGUUUGGGUUGUGUAUUAGUCAAUGAGAGAAUGCAUACAUAAAAUGCAUAAAUACUCAAACUACACAGCAAUGGAAAAGAACAAAUUGCUAUAUUCACACACAUAGAUGAAUCUUACAGACAUAAUGUUGAGCCAGACACAAAAGAAUAUAUACUGUAUGAAUUAAUGUUUACAAAGUUCAGGAACAAGCAAGACUAAGCUAUAAUGACAGAAAUCAGAAUAUUGGUUACCUUUGAGGGAUGAUAUUAACUAUGAGGGGACACAAAGGAGUCUUCUGUGGUUUUGGAACUGUUGUGUGUCAGCGUGGUAGUUACGCAAGAGCAAAUAUAUGUGAAAUUUCAUCCAGCUGUGCAUUUUAUGUGUGUUGUUUUUUAAAGAGGUUAAAAAAGAGUACUUACUUUAAAUGCUAACUUUCUCCAUCCCCUCUAUGGCUAAGCUGUAACCUCUAUACUGUAUAUUUCUAUAUCCAUAUUGCAGAUCCUGAAAAUCUACUCAGGCCCCAAAUACAUGUUCAUAAUUAUAUUUCUUAUGCCUAUCCAAAAAACUGGUUUUCCUUUUAAAAUUUGCAAGCCAUCCAAGAAUCCUCCUUCUCUGUAACCCCGAGUACAUCUGAUGGCCAAGUGCAGUUGAUCAGCUUCCUAAAUAUCCCUCCACUUUGUCUCUUCCUCUCCUUCCCAUCACUGCCUUUGUUUAGGCACCAUAAUUUCUGCUUGAGUUGCAUCAUCACCUAGGUGACAACAACACCUAAAUUAGUGUUUAAAUAACUGAGGACUGUAGCUUUGCCCUACUGAUGCAUAAAACUGACCAUCACAUAGGCCUAGCCUCUACUCCAGUGCCCCCAUCUGCUCAAUCUAUGUUUGUGAAAUGAAAUGGCUCAUUUCUAACCCCAGUACCAUCAUGUUCCAGACAAGUCUUGGUGUCUGACCAUGGGAAGCAAGUAGUUAUCGUGCAUCCAUUAUGUGCAGUGCAGACAGAGGGUGAUUCCAGAAAUACAAGAUUCUGGAUUUUAAUCUAGAGAGACAAAACAGUCAGAUAAGUGCAAGACAACCUACAGGUAAGUUCCCACA